UCCAGACUCCUACGGGAGGCAGCAGUGGGGGAUAUUGCACAAUGGGGGGAACCCUGAUGCAGCGACGCCGCGUGGGUGAAGAAGCGCCUCGGCGCGUAAAGCCCUGUCAGCAGGGAAGAAAAUGACGGUACCUGAAGAAGAAGCCCCGGCUAACUACGUGCCAGCAGCCGCGGUAAUACGUAGGGGGCAAGCGUUAUCCGGAUUUACUGGGUGUAAAGGGGGCGCAGACGGCGAUGCAAGCCAGGAGUGAAAGCCCGGGGCCCAACCCCGGGACUGCUCUUGGAACUGCGUGGCUGGAGUGCAGGAGGGGCAGGCGGAAUUCCUGGUGUAGCGGUGAAAUGCGUAGAUAUACGGAGGAACACCAGUGGCGAAGGCGGCCUGCUGGACAUUAACUGACGCUGAGGCGCGAAAGCGUGGGGAGCAAACAGGAUUAGAUACCCGGGUAAAC
Molecule: ribosomal RNA, 448 nt
Filed under: uncultured bacterium
Lineage: Bacteria
Description: partial 16S ribosomal RNA
Rfam family: Bacterial small subunit ribosomal RNA
Source: RNAcentral